RNAcentral lists this ribosomal RNA (782 nucleotides) under uncultured bacterium. Its description in RNAcentral is "bacterial SSU rRNA". It matches the Rfam family "Bacterial small subunit ribosomal RNA", at positions 9 to 795 of the family's 1533-position model. The record is from RNAcentral.
GAGUUUGAUCCUGGCUCAGGACGAACGCUGGCGGCGCGCCUAAUGCAUGCAAGUCGAACGGCCCCUUAAGCCUUCGGGCUUCUGGGAUAGUGGCAAACGGCUGAGUAACGCGUAAGGGAUCUGACCUCGGGAGAGGGAUAACCCAUCGAAAGGUGGGCUAAUACCCCGUACGCUCUCCCCACGCAUGUGGGGCGAGGAUAGCCCCGGCGUAAGCCGGGACGCCCGGGGAGGACCUUGCGUCCUAUCAGGUUGUUGGCGGGGUAACGGCCCACCAAGCCUAAGACGGGUAACCGGUGUGAGAGCAUGAACGGUCAGAGGGGGACUGAGACACGGCCCCCACUCCUACGGGAGGCAGCAGCAGGGAAUUUUGCGCAAUGGGCUAACGCCUGACGCAGCGACGCCGCGUGGGGGAAGAAGGCCUUCGGGUUGUAAAUCCCUUUUCUGGGGGAAGAGUAAGGACGGUACCCCAGGAAUAAGCCCCGGCUAACUACGUGCCAGCAGCCGCGGUAAUACGUAGGGGGCGAGCGUUGUCCGGAGUUACUGGGCGUAAAGGGCGCGUAGGCGGUCCAGGUAGUCCUCGGUGAAAUCUCCCGGCUCAACCGGGAGCCGCCCGGGGAUACUCCUGGACUUGAGGACAGCAGAGGAGGGUGGAAUUCCCGGUGUAGUGGUGAAAUGCGUAGAUAUCGGGAGGAACACCAGUGGCGAAGGCGGCCCUCUGGGCUGUACCUGACGCUGAGGCGCGAAAGCGUGGGGAGCGAACCGGAUUAGAUACCCUGGUAGUC